This 320-nucleotide ribosomal RNA is filed under the name uncultured bacterium. RNAcentral describes it as "bacterial SSU rRNA". It matches the Rfam family "Bacterial small subunit ribosomal RNA", at positions 29 to 334 of the family's 1533-position model. The record is from RNAcentral.
AACGAACGCUGGCGGCGUGGAUUAGGCAUGCAAGUCGAAUGACGGGCCUCCUUCGGGAGGGAAACCGAAUGGCAAACGGGUGAGUAAUGCAUAGACAACCUACCUUAGAGCGGGGGAUAGCGGCUGGAAACGGCCGGUAAUACCGCAUAACACCAUCAUUUCGCAUGGAGAGAUGGUCAAAGGGGGCGCCUUCGGGGCUCUCGCUUUUUGAGGGGUCUAUGUUGUAUCAGCUUGUUGGUGGGGUAAUGGCCCACCAAGGCGAAGACGCAUAGCCGGGCUGAGAGGUUGGCCGGCCACACUGGGACUGAGACACUGCCCAG